This 377-nucleotide ribosomal RNA is filed under the name uncultured eukaryote. Its description in RNAcentral is "partial 18S ribosomal RNA". It matches the Rfam family "Eukaryotic small subunit ribosomal RNA", at positions 592 to 976 of the family's 1831-position model. The record is from RNAcentral.
CAAUAGCGUAUAUUUAAGUUGCUGCAGUUAAAAAGUUCGUAGUUGGAUUUCGGGUGGGAAUGGCCGGUCCGCCGUUUCGGUGUGCACUUGCUACGCCCACCUUGCUGCCGGGGACGUGCUCUUGAGUUCACGCUCGGGACACGGAGUCGGCGAGGUUACUCUGAGUAAAUUAGAGUGUUCAAAGCAGGCCUACGCUCUGAAUACAUUAGCAUGGAAUAACACGAUAGGACUCUGGCCUAUCUUGUUGGUCUGUAGGACCGGAGUAAUGAUUAAGAGGGACAGUCGGGGGCACUCGUAUUUCAUUGUCAGAGGUGAAAUUCUUGGAUUUAUGAAAGACGAACUACUGCGAAAGCAUUUGCCAAGGAUGUUUUCAUUAA